This 153-nucleotide ribosomal RNA is filed under the name Cordyceps cicadae. RNAcentral's name for it is "5.8S ribosomal RNA". It matches the Rfam family "5.8S ribosomal RNA". From Rfam's summary of the family: 5.8S ribosomal RNA (5.8S rRNA) is a component of the large subunit of the eukaryotic ribosome. It is transcribed by RNA polymerase I as part of the 45S precursor that also contains 18S and 28S rRNA. Functionally, it is thought that 5.8S rRNA may be involved in ribosome translocation. The record is from RNAcentral. Lineage: Eukaryota; Fungi; Ascomycota; Sordariomycetes; Hypocreales; Cordycipitaceae.
ACUUUCAACAACGGAUCUCUUGGUUCUGGCAUCGAUGAAGAACGCAGCGAAAUGCGAUACGUAAUGUGAAUUGCAGAAUUCCGUGAAUCAUCGAAUCUUUGAACGCACAUUGCGCCCGCCAGCAUUCUGGCGGGCAUGCCUGUUCGAGCGUCA